This is a long non-coding RNA of Physeter macrocephalus (sperm whale), 1584 nucleotides long. RefSeq lists it as uncharacterized. The transcript is spliced from 3 exons. The record is from RefSeq and is a predicted model, not a curated record. NCBI's taxonomy places the organism in Eukaryota, Metazoa, Chordata, Mammalia, Artiodactyla, Physeteridae.
CCUGACCAGGCCCACCUGUGCACGACUGCAGCGAGGAAGAAAUUAACACAUCCCCUCGGAAGGCUGAUGGGAACCAGGAAGUGUUUGACUUUACUUCCACCCCAAACACACGCUUUUAGUAUAAAAGAAGCCUGAAUUCUAGCUCAGAUAAGGUGGUUCUUUGGGAUACGAAUCCACCGUCUUCUUGGUCUGCUGGCUUUCUGAACAGAGUCGCUAUUCCUUGCCCCAGCAACUCCUCUCUCCAUUUAUUGGCCUGUCCUGCCUUGCUACUCCUGGCUAGCUGGCAGUUGGGGAAUUUGGGGGUAAGGCCCAGCAGCUGCUGCAACCGCUUGUCCUGAGGAUCUUCCCUUCAAAACUCCCCGAAGCUGCACUGACUGCCCCAGAACUUGGCAGUUGGAGCAAGGAAUCAACAUUUGGGAGCGGACAGGCUCCAUACAGUGGGGAACGUUGAAGAAACGUAGGUGGCGUGGGAGGAAGACACCAUGGAGGCAGAAGAGCCAACAUGUAGGAGGACUACGGAUGCGGAGAGCUUUUUGCGGUUUCUUUCCUUUUCAAUUUCUAAAUCCUUAGGUUCUCCAAAAGUCUCACAUUUCUUUUCUUUCUAAUGUUGGGAGAUACAAACAGCUAUGUACCAGAGCAAAACAGAUCAACUUUGCUUGCUACUAACAGAUGUCUGUGUCACUUGUACGUGUCACUUUGGACUCAAGCAGCCUUUCCUGCUGGCGCCUGAACGGUGAGUAGAGAAGCUUCUGCUAUUUAGCAGGGUCAGAGCUCACUAUCAGACCAGGGAAAUGGAAGGGCAGGAGGCUGGAAUGGGAGGCAGAGGCCAGAUCGUGCCACUGAAAGGACUUGACAGGAUUCUUUCACCAAAAAACUGCCUUCCACUAUCUCAAAGGGGUUUGGAAUAAAGAGAUCAGAGUUCUAAGCCUGUAUUACUUUUGGAGAUAAACACAGAUUUUCUAGAAUACUGAAUUAUCAACCUCAUUUACUAGAUGAGAUAGUUAAAAGAAAUCAUGGAUUUUAAAAACCAAUUUAAAAUUAAUUGGCUUGAAACAAAACAAAGUAUUAUCUCAUGCUAUAAAAAGAGAUAAUAGAUUAUUAAUAUAGAUGAAUGAAAAUCUUAAGAAAAAUUUAAAUAUUUACUACUUUAUCAAAAGCAAGUUUGAAACUCCUUAAUUAGUUUACAAAUUCAAUGCAAUCCUAAUAAAAAUUCCAAUAGGAUGGGGGGAUUCAGAGAGAGAGAAAGAGAUAAAAUUUUCAGUCUAUUUGAAAUAAUAAACAUUUGAGAAUACUGACGAAAACUCUUUAAAAGGCACACUAAUUGUGGUAAUUAGGCCUAUUAAUUAGUAAAACAUUACACAGGUGUUAUUCAGUGUGGUACUGGCUUAGGAAUAGACAGCAAAGGAGGAGAUCAAGUUUAUAAAGGAACUGAACAUUUAAUAACCAUCAGCUGGCAAAAUGACUUUGCUAAUAUUCAACAAAUGCUGCUGGGAAAAUUGACUUGCCUUUGGAAAGAAGUAAGCUUGGUUCCUAACUCAUUCCUUACAUUCAGACACAUCAGGGGCUGGCAAACUUUUCCUGUAA